CACAGCUCAAACACAAACCUCCUGCAUUUCUUCAGAGAGUCCUGCAGUCGAGUCUCUCUAGUGUCCGUCGGGUCGUCAGCUUCUUCCGGUUUCUGCUCACCUUCCUCAGGAUGGACCAUCAGGACUGGCAGCGCGGGCGCAGCAGAGGUCACCGGCACUACGACGACGAUGACGAAGCUCAGCCCUUCUACAUCGGCGUUCCCGCUUCCCACAGAAGAAAAAGGCGCAGACAUCACUCUCACGCCAGCGAGGCCGACCGGGACUCCAGACGCGGCCCCUACGAGCACCACGAGCCGUCCCACCGAGGGCGUUACCACGGCAACGAGGAGCACUACGACGACGACGACGAAGACAGCCUGCUGCCUCAGGAGCCCGCCGACCCCUCAGGUCAGAACCAAAACAUUAAAGAUGACAACAAUUGAAAACCAAAACAAACAAUUAAAAAUAACAUAUUUUGGAAAUUAAAACAACAUUCAAAAAAAUAAAACACAAAAUGAAACAAAAUAAAAAUGAGACGUUUUAGAAAAAUCAAAAAGAAAAGAAAGAUUGGCUUUUCUCCAUCUGAUUAGCACAAAGUGAUUCUAGACACAUAAACUUUUAUUAGUCUGCCGACAUUUGAAAAAAACUGACAUUAAAACUCAUCAUUCAGUCAGUGACAUCCCAUAAUAUUAACCACUUCAAGUUUAUUCUUUUAUUACAUUUAUUUUUUACUUUUUCUUUUGAUUUCUGUAAAAAUUACCUCAGGUUUUGUUCAGUUUCAUUUUUAGGAAAUUUAGCUUUGAUUUCUAAAACAUAAUGUUGUGUUUUUUAUCAUUAAUAUUAAUUUUAGCAUUUUCAUUGCAUUAUUCAUUAAGUCAGGAUUGUUUAAAGCAGGGAUCACCACCCUUUUUGAACUUGAGUGCUACUUCAUGGGUACUUCGUUAUAUGAAGGGCUACCAUUUUUAAAUAACAAAUUUUGUUUAGUUAUAGUUAGUUAAACAUUAUUAAUAAUGAAUAAUGAUACUCCUCUAUGCAAAGACACUGAUUUCUCACUAUAAUUAUCAACAAUGACAACAAGCUAGGAAAGAAAUUUCAAUAUUCAGGACUUUAUUAAUCAGAUGUUCGCUUAGAUUUCAUGGGAAAAAUGUCCCAUUUUCCCUGUGUUGUACCAUUUUAAUCAAUUAUAUAAUGUUAAAGAAAAAUCAUAUUACACAUUUUUAAACAAAUCUUGUCACAUUUUGAACUAAAGACCAAAUCUGCAACAUUUUCUACUAAAUUAAUGAUCUUUGAACUGGAAUAGGUCAGAGGUCACCUAAACUUAUCUGAAGUUCGUGUAUCAUCAACAUAUUUGUAAGACAUUUUCAUUUUUAAAUCUAAGUAAAUGCAAGUGUAAUUAAAAAAAUAUCAACAGAAUUUAAUUUUAGAUGUCGCUCACAAGUGUGUUAAUUUUAGAAGAGACCUGAGGGCACCUUGUGGGGGCCUCGAGGGCUACCUGGUGCCCGCGGGCACCACGUUGGUGACCCCUGGUUUAAAGAUUUAGUUGAAGAGUAAACUUUAUUAUGCAUGCCUAAUAAAGUCAGGCAUGGAGCAGUUGAUUCAUGCCGAAUAUUUGGAAUCAUAAAGUUAAAGUCCCGUUAGUGUUUGGGGAGCGGUGAGCUGCAGACACAGCCGCGCUCUGGAACCGACCCCUUAACGCUGAGUGUCAGUAGAUUUGAACCCGUGAUCUUCUAGUCGCAGGGUGGACACUUUCCCACAAGGCCACUGAGCUGGUCUGAUAUUUAUUCUACAGCGUAAACAUAACAUUUUGAGUUUUGGUCCUUUAUUUAGUCUGUUUGCAUUCACACUGCUGUCAAAUCACAUCCGAGUUCACUUGCAAGCAAGCAGGCAUCAUUUUUUGGGGUUUGUUUGGUUCACAUCAAUGUUCAGGUGACUUGGGGAGUUUCCACACCUGACAAAGGAUCCAGACUAUGAAAGGAACCAACUAAAAAACGUUUUUCGGUACAAGUCUGCUACCUUUUCUACUUCAAACACGGAUGAAACCCCUUCAGGCUUCUCCAGGUGUGCUGUAACACGGAUCAUUACCUGCAGCUGUGACCAUCUGUCACGACUCCGUACAGAAAGGUUGGACCCUUUUUAGCCCAUUACACUAAGUCAGUUCAAACAGCAGAAAAAGGUUCAGGUCAAACGGUUGGUUUUGUGGUUGACCGGUAAGAUCUUCCGGGAUGGUUUGUUUCGUCACUUUUGACCUGGUCUGACGGCUGCUGUGAGGCAGAUAAUCUAUACGUGUUCUUGUGCAGAGUAUUUCUGCAGCAUGGCUGCUGUUUUCCGAGGGCCCGUGAAGUCUGAAGCUGGUAAGCUGAUUAGAGGUGGGGAACUGUGAGCCGUGCGUGAGAGGGUGAACUGUACGGGCACGUUUGCCUCACUUCUGGACAGGAUCGCUGUUCUCACCGAAGUGGAGGGUUUGGGCUCCGGUGUCGGACUUUGAGGAGUCUGCGGGGAGACGCGGCGUUGGCGAGGACGUCCUUCCUUUCCUGGACGCUGAGCACGAGUGUUUGGAGGGCACUCCAGCUCCCCUCCUCUUACUUCUUUGCUGCUCUGCACAUUUUUGAGGAUUUCCACCACAGCUCACGGUCCUCCUGUGACCAGCGGGAAGGUGCAGGAACCAAACGCCAACCCCGCCGGGUCAGCUGAUCUGAGACGAAAUCUCAGAGAACUCUGGAGAAACAAACUGAACAGGAAAAUUCUAGACUGAACAGAGAUGAGCUGAGGGUUUUCAGCUUUAAAAAGACAGGAAGCUGAUUUCCUGGAGAAACUGGAGGAUUCUGGACCUUAGAGCACCCCGU
RNAcentral lists this long non-coding RNA (2822 nucleotides) under Oryzias javanicus (javanese ricefish). Its description in RNAcentral is "lncRNA (ENSOJAG00000013312.1)". The record is from RNAcentral. Lineage: Eukaryota; Metazoa; Chordata; Actinopteri; Beloniformes; Adrianichthyidae.